ACUCCGAGUUAAUAGUUACAACAAUCUCUUAACAAUAAAUAAGACAAUAAAUAGACUUUUAGGAAUUGGGCGUGGCAUCGCCCAGUUUAUGACUACAAGCUAUAUCUCGGUAACCACUAUGUCGAUUUCUACCAAACUUGGUUCAACUAAGUCCAACUCAGCAUUUUAUCGAAAACGUUUGAAAUCGGAAAAAAUACCCCUACUUAUCAUUCAAAGGUAGUUUAGAGAAAGUUGAACGACGAUUUUUAAUACCUGCGCCGGGUAUACAAAGUUCUGUUUCGCCCAAACUUAUACUUAUAAUACUCUUUACUUGUUUUAAUUAAAACUUUCAAAAAUACUAAAAAGCUUUUAUUUAACAUAGGGGGCUGGCCAUAAUGACGUAGAACUGCAUUCACAAUACUUUGAGAGACUAAAAAAGUUUCUAUCUGUCGAGUUGGUAAAAUGACAAUUAAAGAAUCAACAUGAUGUUGUCCCUACUAAUUCAUUGGCAGUAGGAUCUUCUGUUGAAGUGCCGGCGACGUCAUCCUUAGCGAUUAAAAGAAACGUAGAAGAGGUCAAUAAAUCUAUUUCGUCGCCUAUAAACGGGCCAAUAAACAAUUCAAAAGACGACAUAGAAGCAUCAACUUCAAGUUCAGUAUCAACUAAAGCAUCAAUAGAAAAAUUCCUCUAGCAAAAAACAAUGGGUUCUUGUAUGUUACUCAGCAUUGAUUGCAAAGCUCAAAGCAUACCAACCGUUUUUAGAGCAUUCAUUAACUUCAUUGCAGUUAUCAGAGAGAGAUGAGAACCUAAAAGACAAACGUCGUCUUCCCAAUUAUAAAAAUAUGACGUGUAAUAGAUAAUGUUAUCGUUAAAAGAAAAUUUUUUGGCUGGGAGUGGUCCUAAACAUCUACCAUUCUUAAUAAUUA
This is a long non-coding RNA of Rhagoletis pomonella (apple maggot), 905 nucleotides long. RefSeq lists it as uncharacterized. Lineage: Eukaryota; Metazoa; Arthropoda; Insecta; Diptera; Tephritidae. The record is from RefSeq and is a predicted model, not a curated record. The transcript has 2 exons.